Pongo abelii (Sumatran orangutan) is the source of this 148-nucleotide unclassified non-coding RNA. It matches the Rfam family "Metazoan signal recognition particle RNA". Rfam says of the family: The signal recognition particle (SRP) is a universally conserved ribonucleoprotein. The record is from Ensembl. Lineage: Eukaryota; Metazoa; Chordata; Mammalia; Primates; Hominidae.
GCCGGGCAUGGUGGUGCAUGCCUGUAAUCCCAGCUACUCGGGAGGCUGAGGCACAAGAAUCACUUGAACCCGGGAGGCGGAGGUUGCAGUGAGCCGAGAUCGCACCACUGCACUCCAGCCUGGGUGACAGAGUGAGACUCCGUCUCUA